RNAcentral lists this ribosomal RNA (473 nucleotides) under uncultured bacterium. Its description in RNAcentral is "bacterial SSU rRNA". It matches the Rfam family "Bacterial small subunit ribosomal RNA", at positions 335 to 802 of the family's 1533-position model. The record is from RNAcentral.
ACUCCUACGGGAGGCAGCAGUGGGGAAUAUUGCACAAUGGGCGCAAGCCUGAUGCAGCCAUGCCGCGUGUAUGAAGAAGGCCUUCGGGUUGUAAAGUACUUUCAGCAGUGAGGAAGGUGGUAUGUUAAUAGCAUAUUCAUUGACGUUUAGCUGCAGAAGAAGCACCGGCUAACUCCGUGCCAGCAGCCGCGGUAAUACGGAGGGUGCGAGCGUUAAUCGGAAUUACUGGGCGUAAAGCGCAUGCAGGUGGUUUGUUAAGUCAGAUGUGAAAGCCCGGGGCUCAACCUCGGAAUUGCAUUUGAAACUGGCAAACUAGAGUACUGUAGAGGGGGGUAGAAUUUCAGGUGUAGCGGUGAAAUGCGUAGAGAUCUGAAGGAAUACCGGUGGCGAAGGCGGCCCCCUGGACAGAUACUGACACUCAGAUGCGAAAGCGUGGGGAGCAAACAGGAUUAGAUACCCUGGUAGCUACGAGU